CUGUAUUACCCAUACAUUCACCCGGUUUCACUGCAUGUCUUAACUCCAGACCGUCCUCCGGGUCAUCCUCCAGGUACGCCCCCGCCUGCAGCGCAACAGUGGCCACUGAAGAGACAGCGGGCUGGAUGGGCUUAGUGGAGAGAGUGUUAGAAGGACCUCGUGUACGGUAUGCUUUCAACAUGUUAAUGUGACAUGUCCGUAACGAACGCCUACGGUCUGGGGUCUUUAUUACAUAGUUAGUAUCGCUGAGCUUACUAUCAAUCACAUAUGGACCUGAGAAACGGGCUGAGAGAGACGACCCUGGAACGGGCAACAAUGCUAGAACUAGCUCUCCCGGCACAAACGAACGCUCAACAGUCCCCUUAUCAUAACGCAUUUUCAUACGCUUCUGUGCAGUCGAGAGGGACUCUUUAGCUAUUGCGCAGGCUGCAUGUAGCCUCUCCCUCAUCUGGCCAACGAAGUCCAUCACAUUCUUAGGGGCACUGACAGACGUGGGGGACAAAACGUUUUCCUUCAGAACCUUCAACGGUCCUCUUAGUGUAUGUCCGAACACUAAAUCAGCAGGGCUAAAACCUAACGACUCUUGCACUGUUUCCCUACUAGCAAACAACACAAAUGGCACUCCCUCAUCCCAAUUUGGAUUAUCCAUACAGUAUUUUCGGAGCAUCGAUUUGAGGGUCUGGUGCCACCGCUCGAGUGCUCCCUGGCUUUCCGGAUGAUACGCACUCGAGACCUGGACCCACACAAUCCACGAUUACCCGUUCGAACGGUUCUCCCAGCACAGGAAUCGGAUGCAGAGGCGCCCGAGGGAUGACCUGGUUCGCUUUUCCUGUUAGUUGGCAUUCAUGACAGGUGCCCAGCCCAAGCAGGGUCAUGUGCUAGGGAUAACACUUGCUGUCUGAAUGGUUUAGGGACGACCACCUGCUUGACAACCCCUAAACCC
Long non-coding RNA from Gasterosteus aculeatus aculeatus (three-spined stickleback), 943 nucleotides. Lineage: Eukaryota; Metazoa; Chordata; Actinopteri; Perciformes; Gasterosteidae. The record is from Ensembl.